This 114-nucleotide microRNA precursor is filed under the name Choloepus hoffmanni (Hoffmann's two-fingered sloth). Its description in RNAcentral is "miRNA (ENSCHOG00000015259.1)". Lineage: Eukaryota; Metazoa; Chordata; Mammalia; Pilosa; Megalonychidae. The record is from RNAcentral.
GAUUUAGAAUACAGGUAGAUUCCAAAUGAAGGCUAGGAGCUGGGAUGGGGAAGAGGUACCUAGUAUUAGUGUACAUCUUUUGAGUGUUUGUUGUGUUUUCAUACACUCUCCUAA